RNAcentral lists this ribosomal RNA (205 nucleotides) under uncultured bacterium. Its description in RNAcentral is "partial 16S ribosomal RNA". It matches the Rfam family "Bacterial small subunit ribosomal RNA", at positions 568 to 774 of the family's 1533-position model. The record is from RNAcentral.
UGCGUAGGUGGUGGGGUAAGUCGGAUGUGAAAGCUCGGAGCUCAACUCCGAAAUGGCAUUGGAAACUACCCUGCUAGAGGAUUGGAGGGGGGACUGGAAUACUUGGUGUAGCAGUGAAAUGCGUAGAUAUCAAGUGGAACACCAGUGGCGAAGGCGAGUCCCUGGACAAUACCUGACACUGAGGCACGAAAGCUGGGAGCAAACA